CCUACGGGUGGCUGCAGUGGGGAAUAUUGGACAAUGGGCGAAAGCCUGAUCCAGCCAUGCCGCGUGUGUGAAGAAGGCCUUCGGGUUGUAAAGCACUUUCAGUGGGGAAGAAAGCCUUGGGGCUAAUACCCUCGAGGAAGGACAUCACCCACAGAAGAAGCACCGGCUAACUCCGUGCCAGCAGCCGCGGUAAUACGGAGGGUGCGAGCGUUAAUCGGAAUUACUGGGCGUAAAGCGCGCGUAGGCGGUCUGAUAAGCCGGUUGUGAAAGCCCCGGGCUCAACCUGGGAACGGCAUCCGGAACUGUCAGGCUAGAGUGCAGGAGAGGAAGGUAGAAUUCCCGGUGUAGCGGUGAAAUGCGUAGAGAUCGGGGGAAUACCAGUGGCGAAGGCGGCCUUCUGGACUGACACUGACGCUGAGGUGCGAAAGCGUGGGUAGCAAACAGGAUUAGAUACCCGGGUAGUC
This 464-nucleotide ribosomal RNA is filed under the name Vreelandella stevensii. RNAcentral's name for it is "partial 16S ribosomal RNA". It matches the Rfam family "Bacterial small subunit ribosomal RNA", at positions 338 to 795 of the family's 1533-position model. The record is from RNAcentral. Lineage: Bacteria; Pseudomonadati; Pseudomonadota; Gammaproteobacteria; Oceanospirillales; Halomonadaceae.